UAGUCGGUGUUAAUAUACGACCCGACUAGCAGCUUCCGGGAAACCAAAGUUUUUCGUUUCCGGGGGAAGUAUGGUUGCAAAGCUGAAACUUAAAGGAAUUGACGGAAGGGCACCACCAGGAGUGGAGCCUGCGGCUUAAUUUGACUCAACACGGGAAAACUCACCCGGCCCGGACACCGUAAGGAUUGACAGACUGAGAGCUCUUUCUUAAUUCGGUGGGUGGUGGUGCAUGGCCGUUCUUAGUUGGUGGAGCGAUUUGUCUGGUUAAUUCCGAUAACGAACGAGACUCUGGCCUAUUAAAUAGUCGGUAUAUCCGGAAAAGUUUACCGUACUUCUUAGAGGGACAAACGGCGUCUAGCCGCGUGAAAUAGAGCAAUAACAGGUCUGUGAUGCCCUUAGAUGUCCGGGGCUGCACGCGCGCUACACUGAAAGAAUCAGUAUGCGCUUUAACCUAGUCCGGAAGGAUUGGGUAACCCGAGCAAAUUCUUUCGUGCUUGGGAUAGGGAAUUGCAAUUAUUUCCCUUAAACGAGGAAUUCCCAGUAAAUGCGGGUCAUAAGCUCGCGUUGAUUAC
This 572-nucleotide ribosomal RNA is filed under the name Xiphinema sp. MHb2. RNAcentral describes it as "SSU rRNA". It matches the Rfam family "Eukaryotic small subunit ribosomal RNA", at positions 1054 to 1648 of the family's 1831-position model. Lineage: Eukaryota; Metazoa; Nematoda; Enoplea; Dorylaimida; Longidoridae. RNAcentral also lists the same sequence under 1 other name. The record is from RNAcentral.